Molecule: RNA transcript, 1296 nt
Organism: Jatropha curcas
Lineage: Eukaryota; Viridiplantae; Streptophyta; Magnoliopsida; Malpighiales; Euphorbiaceae
Source: RefSeq, a predicted model, not a curated record
AUUCUCACUCGUCUUCCAAACGACAACAGAUUUUUGGCUUUUGAAAAACUAGAAAUUGAAAAAAAAAAAAAAAAAAGAAACCAAUAGUCUUUUUAUAAAAUUCAGAUUUUCAUAAUUUUAUUAGGGUUUUGGGGUUUUGACUAAAUCUAGAUUGUAGUCAUCAAAUCCAGCGGUUGUUGUUUAUCGUCUAACACAAAAAAUGCCUCGCGCAUCAAAGAGAAAAGCGGCCCCACUGAACUCCUCCUCCGUCACAUCAUCUGCUGACUCUCGUGCUGGUAAGGUCAAAUCAAAGGAUAUUGAGCGGAUAGACAGCCUGUUUAAUUCUUAUGCAAAUGCCUCGUUAGGCAUGAUUGAUCCUGAAGGAAUCGAGGCUUUGUGUUCGGAUUUGAAAGUUGAACACACUGAUGUUCGGAUCCUGAUGCUUGCUUGGAAAAUGAAAGCUCAAAAGCAGGGUUAUUUUACCCAGGAAGAGUGGCGGACAGGGCUGAAGGCUCUUCGCAGUGAUACUCUCAACAAACUAAAGAAAGCACUCCCAGAACUGGAGAAAGAGGUGGGGACACCAGGAAACUUUGAGGAUUUCUAUUCUUAUGCAUUUCGAUAUUGUCUAACAGAAGAGAAGCAAAAAAGUGUAGACAUUGAGAGCAUUUGUGAGUUACUGGAUCUUGUCCUUGGUUCACAAUUUCGUUCUAAGAUUGAUUCAUUAAUAGAGUAUCUAAAGAUCCAAAGUGAUUACAAGGUGAUAAACUUGGACCAAUGGAUGAAUUUUCUUCGUUUUUGCAAGGAGAUCAGCUUUCCAGAUUUUGAGAACUAUGAUGCAACUCAAGCCUGGCCCUUGAUUCUAGACAAUUUUGUCGACUGGAUGAAAGAAAAGGAAAGGUAGUUUCAGCAAUUCUUUGGCCGUUUUGAUCCCCUACUUAAAAGAAAAAGAAUCGGAUUCGAUAAGGGAUUUGCCAAAACCAUAACUACUGGAGCAUUUUUUGUAUAAACUAUCUAUACCAAGAAUGCUCAUGCUGGGCUCUGAAGACAUUCACAAUCACAUAAUACAAUUGUCAAUUUUGGCUUCUUUUUUCGUUUGUUAUUUUUUCAUCAUCUGGUUGUUGUCCUGCCUCUUCUAAAUUAAGGGUAUUUCUUAAUUAUUGAGAUAGCAAACGCAAAUAUGUAUAAGAUAUCUGAAGUAAGAUCAUCUUCAAAAGAAGUAAAAUCCAAAAAAAGCAGUCCAUUACAGGCAGUAAAACUAAUGCUACUGAAUGUUGUUGAUGAGCCAUCCAAAGAGUAAUUGCACUGUUAAUUUUUUUA